GACGGAGGGUGCAAGCGUUGUUCGGAUUCACUGGGCGUAAAGGGUGCGUAGGUGGCCGGGUAAGUCUGACGUGAAAUCUCCGAGCCUAACUCGGAAACUGCAUCGGAUACUAUCCGGCUUGAGGGUUGGAGGGGGGACUGGAAUACUUGGUGUAGCAGUGAAAUGCGUAGAUAUCGAGUGGAACACCAGUGGCGAAGGCGAGUCCCUGGACAACUCCUGACACUGAGGCACGAAAGCUAGGGGAGCAAACAGG
RNAcentral lists this ribosomal RNA (253 nucleotides) under uncultured bacterium. Its description in RNAcentral is "partial 16S ribosomal RNA". It matches the Rfam family "Bacterial small subunit ribosomal RNA", at positions 524 to 776 of the family's 1533-position model. The record is from RNAcentral.